UACGAAGGUCCCAAGCGUUGUUCGGAAUCACUGGGCGUAAAGGGAGCGUAGGCGGCGAUGUAAGUCAGAUGUGAAAUUCCAGGGCUCAACCUUGGAACUGCAUCCGAUACUGCAUUGCUAGAGUAGUGGAGGGGCGACUGGAAUUCACGGUGUAGCAGUGAAAUGCGUAGAGAUCGUGAGGAACACUAGUGGCGAAGGCGAGUCGCUGGACACUUACUGACGCUGAGGCUCGAAGGCCAGGGUAGCGAAAGGG
RNAcentral lists this ribosomal RNA (253 nucleotides) under uncultured bacterium. Its description in RNAcentral is "partial 16S ribosomal RNA". It matches the Rfam family "Bacterial small subunit ribosomal RNA", at positions 524 to 776 of the family's 1533-position model. The record is from RNAcentral.